AGCUCCAAUAGCGUAUAUUAAAGUUGUUGCAGUUAAAAAGCUCGUAGUUGGAUUUCUGGCAGGAGUGACUGACCACAAACUCUGUUUGUGAGUUGUGUCAUUCUGGCCAUCCUUGGUAAGAUCCUUUUUGGCAUUAAGUUGUCGGGAAGGGGAUGACCAUCGUUUACUGUGAAAAAAUUAGAGUGUUUAAAGCAGGCUUAUGCCGUUGAAUAUAUUAGCAUGGAAUAAUAAGAUAGGACUUUGAGUCUAUUUUGUUGGUUUGCGAGUCAAAGUAAUGAUUAAUAGGGACAGUUGGGGGUAUUCGUAUUUCAUUGUCAGAGGUGAAAUUCUUGGAUUUCUGAAAGACGAACUACUGCGAAAGCAUUUACCAAGGAUGUUUUCA
This 382-nucleotide ribosomal RNA is filed under the name uncultured eukaryote. Its description in RNAcentral is "SSU rRNA". It matches the Rfam family "Eukaryotic small subunit ribosomal RNA", at positions 587 to 972 of the family's 1831-position model. The record is from RNAcentral.